AUACGGAGGGUGCAAGCGUUACUCGGAAUCACUGGGCGUAAAGCGCGCGCAGGCGGCCAUUUAAGUUGGAUGUGAAAGCCUACGGCUCAACCGUAGAACUGCAUCCAAAACUAUUUGGCUAGAGUGUGGGAGAGGAAGAUGGAAUUAGUUGUGUAGGGGUAAAAUCCGUAGAGAUAACUAGGAAUACCAAAAGCGAAGGCGAUCUUCUGGAACAGUACUGACGCUGAGGCGCGAAAGCGUGGGGAGCAAACAGGAUUAGAUACCCUAGUAGUCC
This 274-nucleotide ribosomal RNA is filed under the name uncultured bacterium. RNAcentral describes it as "partial 16S ribosomal RNA". It matches the Rfam family "Bacterial small subunit ribosomal RNA", at positions 523 to 796 of the family's 1533-position model. The record is from RNAcentral.